Molecule: transfer RNA, 51 nt
Filed under: Batocera lineolata
Lineage: Eukaryota; Metazoa; Arthropoda; Insecta; Coleoptera; Cerambycidae
Description: tRNA-Phe
Source: RNAcentral
AUAGAGUAUGACAUUGAAGAUGUUAGGGAAAUAGUAAUAUUUUUAAGUAAU